CUGCCAGUCAUAUGCUUGUCUCAAAGAUUAAGCCAUGCAUGUCUCAGUACCUGCCGACCUAAGGCGAAACCGCGAAUGGCUCAUUAAAUCAGUCAUGAUUUAUGGGAUGUUGUAAAAUCCUUACUCGGAUAACUGUGGUAAUUCUAGAGCUAAUACGUGCAACUAGUCUCCGACCCCGGCCCGUCGCGGUCGGGGGAAGGGCGCAUUUGUUAGACCAAAAACCGGGUGGACAGUCGGGGCAAUCUCCGCUUCGCGCGGCAGCAUUCGUCCUCGUCCAUUCCUCUACGGUUAUGUGGUGACUCUGGAUAACUAUAGCCGAGCGCUGAGGUCUUAGUACCGGCGCCGUAUCCUUCAAGUGUCUGCCUUAUCAGCUCUCGAUUGUAGGUUAUUCGCCUACAAUGGCUGUAACGGGUAACGGGGAAUCAGGGUUCGAUUCCGGAGAGGGAGCCUGAGAAACGGCUACCACAUCUAAGGAAGGCAGCAGGCACGCAAAUUACCCAAUCCCGGCUCGGGGAGGUAGUGACGAAAAAUAACGAUGCGGGACUCUUCCGAGGCCUCGCAAUCGGAAUGAGU
Molecule: ribosomal RNA, 573 nt
Filed under: Chaetophiloscia elongata
Lineage: Eukaryota; Metazoa; Arthropoda; Malacostraca; Isopoda; Philosciidae
Description: bacterial SSU rRNA
Rfam family: Eukaryotic small subunit ribosomal RNA
Source: RNAcentral